GACAGAGGUGCCAAGCGUUAGGCGGAAUCACUGGGCUUAAAGCGUGUGUAGGCGGAUCGUUAAGUGCCUUGUGAAAUCCCAUGGCUUAACCAUGGAACUGCUCGGCAUACUGGCGGUCUUGAGCCAUCUAGGGGCUACCGGAACAAAUGGUGGAGCGGUGAAAUGCGUAGAUAUCUGGAGGAAUACCGGUGGCGAAGGCGGCAUCCUGGACCGGCAUUGACGCUGAUGAGCGAAAGCUAGGGUAGCAAACGGG
Molecule: ribosomal RNA, 253 nt
Filed under: uncultured bacterium
Lineage: Bacteria
Description: partial 16S ribosomal RNA
Rfam family: Bacterial small subunit ribosomal RNA
Source: RNAcentral